Molecule: long non-coding RNA, 790 nt
Organism: Microcebus murinus (gray mouse lemur)
Lineage: Eukaryota; Metazoa; Chordata; Mammalia; Primates; Cheirogaleidae
Source: RefSeq, a predicted model, not a curated record
UACUCACAAUGCUGCGUCAUCUGUCGUGCCACCUAGGAAUGCUGGCCUCCAGUGACUCAGAGAUUCAUAGUAAGCUCCACUGAUGAAGACUACAAAUGCAAGCCUUACUCAGAAAAUGUAGGAAAAUGUGAAUGAUCAUCCAUUUUUCAGUUAUGUCGAAUUUGACCACUCAGAAUUUUACAACUUAUGCAUAGAAUAACAUAUCUUCCAACCACAUCAAGAACUCUUUGGUGCACGAUGGCUGCAUUUUGGGAAUGCGAUCUCUUUCAAUGUUGGCCACAUUCCUGCCUUCCACUCACAGGAAGAGCACAUCACGCAUCCAUUGGAAGGCAUCAGUGAGGAGGACCCACUGGCCAUCCCAAAAGCCCUUGGAAUAUAUAGUCUUGGCCACUGGAGGAGAUUCUCACAUGUGACUUUGAAUUCCUCAAAAACAGUGGUUGGUGUCCUACUCACCUUGUUAUACCUAGCUCAGAGUUGAGGAUUUGUCAGUGUGGUAGAAUGAAUGCUGAUGAGCCAAUCAGAUUUCCUGCCACAGUCAGAAGGAAGAGGAAGACUGAGCAUAGCUGUGAACGAUGCAGGAUGAACUGCCACAGGAGUGUGGAAGAAGGGGGGAAAACAGAGGCUUGGGAAAGGAUGUGGAAUAAUGUGGCCAAAGUCCCACCACUAAUCAGCAAUACAGGAUUAGAACUCAGGUAGUCUCAGCCAGUGAGUACACUGCCUUCAAAGCACAGAGAAAUACCUCCACGUACUCUUCAGCAAUUCUCACUCAAUAAAUAGUUUUUACUGAUAA